This is a long non-coding RNA of Alosa alosa (allis shad), 611 nucleotides long. RefSeq lists it as uncharacterized. Lineage: Eukaryota; Metazoa; Chordata; Actinopteri; Clupeiformes; Clupeidae. The record is from RefSeq and is a predicted model, not a curated record. The transcript has 4 exons.
ACAAUCCUUGCUUACUUUCAAAUGUUAACCACGGUACAUAAGCAUAACUAACAGCUACUACUAGUCCAAAUGUAAAACGUUUGCUCUGGUUAAGUGGAUUGGCGGGGAGUAUGAGGGCAAAACCAGAAUUUUGCGGACUGACUGCAUUAGUAAACCUAGCGUUAAUGAGGAAGACUUUUUCAACGGCUCUGUAACAUUAUGGGACAACAUCUUGCUAGAAACUAUGUGGUGGAGGGGAGGAAGGCAGCCAAGAGGUAGUUUGGCCAUGGUGGUCAAAAUUGCUGAGAGGCAACACUAGAAAGCUACAUCAAGGACACCGGAGGAUGGACCAGAAGACCUGAGACCAAGACGACCCAAGCCCAACCCAUAGUAUGCUUCACUGACAAAUGUUGAUGCUUCAUCAUCACAUAGACCAAAGGUUUCAGAGAAGGCUGGUAGAGCUCUCUAUGAGUGUGAGCUGUGGGAGAUAACCAAGAACUGACAACCACCUAAGAAGAGGUGGCGAUAAUGGCUCUCCAAGAGGAGGUUAGGCCACCCUGAAGCAGUUCCCAGGCCAGACACUCACUCCAGAUUGCUGGGCCAGGCAAUAAAUGCCAAAGUGACAGAAUUGA